This 428-nucleotide ribosomal RNA is filed under the name uncultured bacterium. Its description in RNAcentral is "bacterial SSU rRNA". It matches the Rfam family "Bacterial small subunit ribosomal RNA", at positions 355 to 775 of the family's 1533-position model. The record is from RNAcentral.
UGGGGAAUUUUGGACAAUGGGCGCAAGCCUGAUCCAGCAAUGCCGCGUGUGUGAAGAAGGCCUUCGGGUUGUAAAGCACUUUUGUCCGGAAAGAAAUCUCCUGGGUUAAUACCCCGGGGGGAUGACGGUACCGGAAGAAUAAGCACCGGCUAACUACGUGCCAGCAGCCGCGGUAAUACGUAGGGUGCGAGCGUUAAUCAGAAUUACUGGGCGUAAAGCGUGCGCAGGCGGCUAUGCAAGACAGAUGUGAAAUCCCCGGGCUCAACCUGGGAACUGCAUUUGUGACUGCAUGGCUAGAGUGCGUCAGAGGGAGGUGGAAUUCCGCGUGUAGCAGUGAAAUACGUAGAGAUGCGGAGGAACACCGAUGGCGAAGGCAGCCUCCUGGGAUGACACUGACGCUCAUGCACGAAAGCGUGGGGAGCAAACAG